CCGAUGGACCCCGGGGGGAUUAGAUUGUUGGGGGGGUAAGGGCUCACCAAGGGGACGAUGGGUAGCCGACCUGAGAGGGUGAUUCGCCACACUGGGAUUGAGACACGGCCCAGAUUCCUACGGGAGGCAGCAGUAGGGAAUCUUCCGCAAUGGACGAAAGUCUGACGGAGCAACGCCGCGUGAGUGAUGAAGGUUUUCGGAUCGUAAAGCUCUGUUGUUAGGGAAGAACAAGUGCGAGAGUAACUGCUCGCACCUUGACGGUACCUAACCAGAAAGCCACGGCUAACUACGUGCCAGCAGCCGCGGUAAUACGUAGGUGGCAAGCGUUGUCCGGAAUUAUUGGGCGUAAAGGGCUCGCAGGCGGUUUCUUAAGUCUGAUGUGAAAGCCCCCGGCUCAACCGGGGAGGGUCAUUGGAAACUGGGAAACUUGAGUGCAGAAGAGGAGAGUGGAAUUCCACGUGUAGCGGUGAAAUGCGUAGAGAUGUGGAGGAACACCAGUGGCGAAGGCGACUCUCUGGUCUGUAACUGACGCUGAGGAGCGAAAGCGUGGGGAGCGAACAGGAUUAGAUACCCUGGUAGUCCACGCCGUAAACGAUGAGUGCUAAGUGUUAGGGGGUUUCCGCCCCUUAGUGCUGCAGCUAACGCAUUAAGCACUCCGCCUGGGGAGUACGGUCGCAAGACUGAAACUCAAAGGAAUUGACGGGGGCCCGCACAAGCGGUGGAGCAUGUGGUUUAAUUCGAAGCAACGCGAAGAACCUUACCAGGUCUUGACAUCCUCUGACAACCCUAGAGAUAGGGCUUUCCCUUCGGGGACAGAGUGACAGGUGGUGCAUGGUUGUCGUCAGCUCGUGUCGUGAGAUGUUGGGUUAAGUCCCGCAACGAGCGCAACCCUUGAUCUUAGUUGCCAGCAUUUAGUUGGGCACUCUAAGGUGACUGCCGGUGACAAACCGGAGGAAGGUGGGGAUGACGUCAAAUCAUCAUGCCCCUUAUGACCUGGGCUACACACGUGCUACAAUGGACAGAACAAAGGGCUGCGAGACCGCAAGGUUUAGCCAAUCCCAUAAAUCUGUUCUCAGUUCGGAUCGCAGUCUGCAACUCGACUGCGUGAAGCUGGAAUCGCUAGUAAUCGCGGAUCAGCAUGCCGCGGUGAAUACGUUCCCGGGCCUUGUACACACCGCCCGUCACACCACGAGAGUUUGCAACACCCGAAGUCGGUGAGGUAACCUUUAUGGAGCCAGCCGCCG
This 1244-nucleotide ribosomal RNA is filed under the name Bacillus pumilus. Its description in RNAcentral is "bacterial SSU rRNA". It matches the Rfam family "Bacterial small subunit ribosomal RNA", at positions 222 to 1458 of the family's 1533-position model. The record is from RNAcentral. Lineage: Bacteria; Bacillati; Bacillota; Bacilli; Caryophanales; Bacillaceae.